AGCGAACGUUAGCGGCGCGCCUAACACAUGCAAGUCGCACGAGAAAGGGAGCAAUCCCCGGUACAGUGGCGCACGGGUGAGUAACACGUAGAUGACCUUCCCUGGAGUGGUGGAUAACCUGCCGAAAGGCGGGCUAAUACAGCAUGGGACCACAUGGUUUUGACCGAGUGGUGAAAGCGGGCCUCUGUUCACAAGCUCGCGCUCUGGGAUGGGUCUGCGUCCCAUCAGCUAGUUGGUGAGGUAAUGGCUCACCAAGGCAUCGACGGGUAGCUGGUCUGAGAGGAUGACCAGCCANACUGGAACUGAGACACGGUCCAGACUCCUACGGGAGGCAGCAGUGGGGAAUCUUGCGCAAUGGGCGAAAGCCUGACGCAGCGACGCCGCGUGGGUGAUGAAGGCCUCGGUUGUAAG
Molecule: ribosomal RNA, 411 nt
Filed under: uncultured bacterium
Lineage: Bacteria
Description: bacterial SSU rRNA
Rfam family: Bacterial small subunit ribosomal RNA
Source: RNAcentral